RNAcentral lists this transfer RNA (74 nucleotides) under bacterium. Its description in RNAcentral is "tRNA-Arg". It matches the Rfam family "tRNA". From Rfam's summary of the family: Transfer RNA (tRNA) molecules are approximately 80 nucleotides in length. Their secondary structure includes four short double-helical elements and three loops (D, anti-codon, and T loops). Further hydrogen bonds mediate the characteristic L-shaped molecular structure. tRNAs have two regions of fundamental functional importance: the anti-codon, which is responsible for specific mRNA codon recognition, and the 3' end, to which the tRNAs corresponding amino acid is attached (by aminoacyl-tRNA synthetases). tRNAs cope with the degeneracy of the genetic code in two manners: having more than one tRNA (with a specific anti-codon) for a particular amino acid; and 'wobble' base-pairing, i.e. permitting non-standard base-pairing at the 3rd anti-codon position. RNAcentral also lists the same sequence under 4 other names. The record is from RNAcentral.
GGUCCGGUAGCUCAGUUGGAUAGAGCGAUUGCCUCCUAAGCAAUAGGUCGUGGGUUCGAUUCCCGCCCGGAUCA